CCCUGGGUGGUCCUGGGAUCAUCAAAUUGCUUUGCCUCAGUCUAUUCAUCUGUAAAAUGGGUUCAAAGAUAUGCCACCUCCUGGCGGGUGGUUGUGGACAAGGAAAGGAGAGAGAAAGAGGCUAGCCUGGAUUGUACCCCACUGUGCUCACUCGAUCAGGGUGUCCUGUUUCUCACAUCGAGGAAACGAGGAAACCCCCAGUUUGUGGACUUGUGAAAUGAAGGGAGAUAGUGGAUACAGACCAAUUCACUCGGAAACUGGUGCUGGCAGCUGGGAUCCUUACAUCAGUUCUGUAAAUAGUAACCCUAAUAAUUACGCCCAGCGCCGGGUCGCAUGAUCCAUCAGUCAGGCCACAUCAGAGCGUGUCAGAGUUUGUCAGGUGUAUCAUUUUUGUUACCUGCAUCAUUCCCCCACACCCCCGGAACAGGUAACACACCCGAAGGGGGUAAUUUCAUGAAGGCACAGCUCCCCUUGAUCCCCUUGAUCCCCUUGAUCCUCCUCUUGAUCCCCUUGGUCAAGCCCCCAGGAGGCCAGAGGGCACAGGUCUGUGCAGUGAUGGAGAGGAUUUGGAGGGACACACGGAAGAUACCUGGCUGCUCAGGCACCUCAAAAUCUGGGACUCCGAUGCCCCCACUUUAUCUCAGGUUUGUGACCAAGAAUGAUAGUUCUGAUCACGGCUGAAGGUAAGUGUGUGAAGGGGAGGACCCGACACAGAAGCCCAUAAGCAAGCUCUAUAGCCACACAGGGUCCCGGCUCUGAGUCUCGCGGAGGACACAGGUGAGCAGACAGGCAGUGGCAAAGUCACCUUGGCAGCGACAUCCCUGGGGGAGCACACACAAGGGCAGUGCUCGCAGCCUUGGGGCAUCCGGGAGUGCUUCCUGGAAGAAGGGAUCCCAACCUGGGAUGGGAAGGAAGAGAGGAGCGAGUCCUGUGAAGAGGACAGAAGAGCAGGGUCUAUGGCCCGCGGGGGGGACACUGUGGCUGUGGAAAGAGAGGGACAGGGGGCUGGAAAGGUGGGCUGGGCCAGGUCACGCAGAGCCUCGGAGGCUGAGGAACUCCGCCUGAGCAAGAGGGAAGCGUGGAAGGCGUGUCCGCAGGCCCCACAUGGAAGUACUCAGACCCACGAAGCAUUUACUGAGCACCUGCUGGGCACAGGUUGCUAUCGGCACUCUACAGAACGCAGGAAGAGUCCAAGAGAUGAGGACUCCCUGGGAGGGUCUAAUCACUCACUGAGGCAGGAAACAGUCUCCCCACAUAGCGCAGAGACGCUCAUCACUGCCUGCACUUCCAGUGGCUGCAGACUGCUGCUCUGAGGCUCCGAGCACAGCAGGUGAGCCGAGAAAGGGGUAUCCUCGCCUCCCAGCACAUGCAUCCACGGCUUUCCCACACCCUCGCAACACACUCUCUGUGUCCUCUUCCAGCUCCAUCUCCAUAUCCUUGGGGUGAGAACAAAUCCCCCUCCCGCCCCCCGCUUGUAACUUCAGGGUUAUGGGCAUCAUUUUGGGCAGAAGUGUGUACGGAGGCUGAUAGAAUCUUCUCUGAUGAGAUCCAGCCAGCCCAAUCCCUCCUCUAUCAGAACGCCUUGUUUACCCAUUAGUGGCUCUUUGGACACUAGCAGCAGACAGGCUGGCUCCAGGGCAUUUAAAAGGUCAAGAAUCAAGGGCCCAGGAAGGCAGUCAGCUGGGAUUCGGAUCAACAAAGUUUCCAAAGAUGAACAUGGUUUUCUAAAUGCACCAGCAACGUGCUCUGUCCCAGAAGAGAAGAAAACCACUGGUCAGAGGUGAUCUUCUCCAGGAAGCAAUCUUUCUCUGCCACCUGAGAUGGCCAGUGAUCCUUGAGUGCCCGCCCUCCAUCGGAAGCACUGGCUAUAUCACUUUGACCUUGGGGAAAUGUUCUGGGAAAAGCUGCUGCCUUGGAGAAACUGAGGCAGUAAAAUCAAAUGAAAAUCUGCCCUGGUGCUGGAUCCCGUGUGGUCCUCGAGAGCAAAGUCUCAUUCCAACCAGGAGGAAUCGUGAGGACUUAAUCGUAACAAGCAGAGCCUUUUAAAAUCCCUUCCGUGCCCUGGGUAUUUCUGCGGAACACGGUCCACAAUACUCCCCUUUAACACAACAACCCAAAGGGGUACGCUCUCUCUUCCCCGUGUUAUAGGUGAGGCUCAAAGAGGAGAAGUUAUCCAGCUAGUUAAGUGGUGGAGUUAGGAUUUGAACCCGGGUCUCUAAAUCUAGGCUGGCCCCAUCCCUAUGCUGAGAGGAAAGAGCCCCAGCCCAGCAGCUGGGAGUGAUCGAGGGGCUGGGGCUGAGAGCUCACGGAGCUCGGACUGGAGGGAAAGGAUGUAUUUGUUCCUUGUUUGUUUUUCCCAGCGCAGUUCGCAGUUUGGGGGAGAGGAGCUCUAACAGGCUGAACUGGUCAGACGGGGGUAACACACGUGGCCCAACUAGAAGGGAGAGGAUGACUCACCACUCGAAUGGUUGUUAGCUGGCAGGAAACACCAUGGGAGAGAAGCUUGUCGGCCAGUAUCUUCGAGGAAGAAACUCCCCUCAUUUUAUAAUGUGGAAACUGAGACCCAGAUGGAAAGCGUCCUGCCCAAAUAUGGACUGGGAUUAUUGGUUUCCUGGUCCCUAGAACACUUCUUUUUCCAGUAACAACCAUAAUAAUAACAAAAGCCGCCAACAUUUUACUAAGUACUUCAUAUGUGUCAAGCUCUGUGCCAAGCAUCACAUCUAUUCCAUUGCAUUACGUUAUAUUACAUUAUAUUAUAAUUGUGAUACAUAUAAUUAUAUAUUAAAACUGUGUGAUCUUGUACAAGUCCCGUAAAUUAUGAGUCUUGGGUGGUGGUUGUUUUUUUUUUUUUUUUAAUCUGUGAAUAGGAGAAACCAGUUAUCGGAGCUGUUAAAUGUUAUACAGAGUUCAUAAAGUAACAUCAAUAAAGUGGAGCGUCUAAAUCAAUAUAAAGGAGGCCUUCCUCCUCCUUGGCUGUAUUUCUUAUCUAUUGCUACAUAACAAAUCGCCACGAACUUAGCACCUUAAAACGUGUUGUACUUACUCUCUCACAAUUUCUGUGCAUCAGGGAUUCAGGCAGAGUUUAGCGGGCUCCUCUCUUGCAGAGUCUCCCACCAG
This 3117-nucleotide long non-coding RNA is filed under the name Canis lupus familiaris (dog). RNAcentral's name for it is "lncRNA (ENSCAFG00040024887.1)". Lineage: Eukaryota; Metazoa; Chordata; Mammalia; Carnivora; Canidae. The record is from RNAcentral.